UACGUAGGUCCCGAGCGUUGUCCGGAUUUAUUGGGCGUAAAGCGAGCGCAGGUGGUUUAUUAAGUCUGGUGUAAAAGGCAGUGGCUCAACCAUUGUAUGCAUUGGAAACUGGUAGACUUGAGUGCAGGAGAGGAGAGUGGAAUUCCAUGUGUAGCGGUGAAAUGCGUAAAUAUAUGGAGGAACACCGGUGACGAAAGCGGCUCUCUGGCCUGUAACUGACACUGAGGCUCGAAAGCGUGGGGAGCAAACAGG
RNAcentral lists this ribosomal RNA (252 nucleotides) under uncultured bacterium. Its description in RNAcentral is "partial 16S ribosomal RNA". It matches the Rfam family "Bacterial small subunit ribosomal RNA", at positions 524 to 776 of the family's 1533-position model. The record is from RNAcentral.